CGUGUUUCUCUGCACAUGGUUAAC
Molecule: non-coding RNA, 24 nt
Filed under: Arabidopsis thaliana (thale cress)
Lineage: Eukaryota; Viridiplantae; Streptophyta; Magnoliopsida; Brassicales; Brassicaceae
Source: RNAcentral